This is an RNA transcript of Schistocerca gregaria, 4190 nucleotides long. It is a transcript of the gene named speckle-type POZ protein-like, with no coding region annotated. The record is from RefSeq and is a predicted model, not a curated record. The transcript is spliced from 6 exons. NCBI's taxonomy places the organism in Eukaryota, Metazoa, Arthropoda, Insecta, Orthoptera, Acrididae.
AUGAAUAGGUCAGUUGCUAUUCACAAUAUAAUGGUGAUGCUGAGUCAAAAGUAGUCAUAACAAAAAGACUGCCGGAAAGCCUUUUUGUUGUACCUGUCUGCAGCCUAUCCAUUAUAUGGUGAGUAGCAGUUAUCUCUUUCGUAUUAGUGUAACUUCAUCAGUGAGGACACUGGUUAUAAGUGCAGUCUUUGUUAUUCAAAUUUGGGCUCGUCUUCCAUGCACACCACCACCUUCCGUUUCGAAUUCGCAUUUGCACAAGAGAAAUGGAACAUUGUUUUACAUCUGAUGCACAUAAUUGCUUUGAAGAUACAAUUUCCACAUUAGCAAAGGCUUGAAAAUUUUUGGAAGAUAACACAAAAAGUGGAGAAAUGUACCUGCAUGAAAACAAAACCAAAAAGGUGUCUUGCAUAAGGCGGAAUUGCUCUCAAACACUAUACAAUACUAUAUUGUACUGUUAGUGCUUAGUGCAUUACUGUGUCUUUAGAACAAAACCUUCUCAAAAUUAACUAUUAAGGCUGUCUUAUUAGUAACCUAUGGGCAUUAUAUACCAUUUUUUGCCUAGAUUUCCCAUUAAAGAAUUAAUGUGAUAUUUGGCUUUACUUUCAAUAUGCAAAAUUACACCUAUACUUUGUUACGCUUUUUCAAACAGACUAUCUAUAUCGUUGGGAUGAUGGUUCCUUGUCUCCAUCUGGCUAUCCUGAUUAAGGUUCUCCUUGCUUUUUCUAAAUUACUUUAGGCAACUGCUGGAGUGGUUCAUUCUAUAAGGCCAUGGCCGACUACCUGCUCCAUGGUUUUCAAACUAGACGUCUAACUAUGUUAAUGUCUGUGUAUACAAAUUAUGUUUUUAGCUCUUACACUGCAAUAUCACGGCAUGUACAAUGUCCUUAUAAACAUGAUCCGUGUAUAAAUAAGUCUGCUGCUGCUGCUGCUGCUACUACUACUACUUACCACCACCACCACCACCUUCUGAAGAGUACCUUAAAUGCAACUUGCAUUUGUUCUGUCAUUUAAUGUGCUCCUAUUAAGAAUCUUUGUCCCUUACUGUUCAAAACUAUGUCGUGGCCUGUGCUGCCCUGAUCUAAAGCCACAUGGAAAAUGCAAGGAGAGUUGGAAUAUGAUUGUUUACAGUGGACUGUUGACCACAAAUAAAUUAAAUAGUCUCAAAGCCGAAUAUCAAAUACUCAACAAGUACAUUUUUCCAUGUUUAAAAUGAGGCUUGUCAGGUCACCUCAAGAAUCAUGGAAGAGCAAGAAAAAUUAUGCAUAAGAAAGAUCCGUAUCAUAACAUUUGCAUUCAAAGUACAAACUAUGCAUAUUACAAAAUCAGAUGUUGCUCAAAGCUCACCUUGAAAACCUGGGAUCAAGACCACUUGUCCUAUAUAUCUGAAAUAAUAAGAAUCUACAUGCAAAAAUACAGUGACUGAGCUAUCCACGCACUACUCUGGAAUUGACAUCACAGCCCUACGGACACCUGUACCUCUUCUCCUAGGUGCCAUACUAAGGUGAAGUUCUUGUGCAUACCUUUUGGGAAAAGCAGCCUUCCUUACAGGAGUGCUGGUCUCGCAAGGUACGCAGAAAAACUUCGGUGAACUUUUUUUUUAAAUAGGUUUUUGGAACAUGCCCACGCAGCCAUCUCAACACGCAAAAUGCUAUAAUGCAGUUUGGUUUUGAAAAUUCAUAGUAAACAUUAGUUUAAUUCUGUGAAGAUAUACUCGCGUAAGAUCUGUGAAGCCAGGUUGAUAAGUGGUCAGAUAGAUCAGUCGAUAGAGUACUUGGCCACCAAAGUCAAAGAUGCGAGGUUUGAGAUCCCUCCUGGCAAACAUUUUUUAAUCUGCCAGGAAGUUUCAGACCAGCACUAUCUGUGUGGUGGGUGCUAGUACAUUCAACAGUGAAGCAUCAUUUUACUGUAAGGAUCUAUCUGCUUUAUACAAGGAGAAUGUGAGUGACAUGUACAGACAUGUGAAUAUAUGCACAUGUAUAACGAAGAAAGUCCAGGUAGCCAGUUGUUACUUUGUUGAAGAAAACAGUGUGACAUUUGCCACCUACUGCACUCCCAUGACUUAAACCCUCGUGAGUUCAACUGAAGGAAACAGUUCAUGGCAUUCGCUUCAGAACUGCUACAAAUUCGUCGGGCAAUAGACCAUGCCGCUCGAACUGUCAAGACAACUGGUACUGCUAAGAGUAUCCUACGACUUCCACAUCGCUGGCAACGGGUUAUACACAAUGCUGGUGACUACUUUGAAGGAAAUAGGAUCUUUUGUGCAAUAAAAGUACUGGGCCUUGUCCAGAAACCAUGAGCUUCAAUUCAAACAACUAUAAUUCUUGUUCUACAGAUAAAGGGACUGUGACAACUGCUAUUGCAGAAGUAGCAGAAGAUUUAAAAAGUCCUUUGAACUAUUCAAGUGGGACAAAAUUUAAGAAUUGCUCAACUGCCAACACCUGGACUGUAAGGGGACUGAAGAGCUUGACUGCAGCAACAACCUGCAUCGAGUCCCUUCCGUUCAAGCACCAGAACUCCAGUACUUGGUGCAUGGUCCUUACAAGGGACUCAGAUGGACUUUAUCUGUCAUUUUUGCUGAAAGAUAGUCCAACUGAAAUGCUUCUGAGAGCAAAUGUAAGAGCAGAUGAGAUUCUUCGUACUGGUGAAAAGCGAGAAGUGUUCCCAAGCACGUGGUAUAAUUUGGAUGAAGGAGAGAAAACUGAAAUGCUGCCUGUUAGGAAAACUGAAACUGCAGGAGAGGGCGAUGACGAAGAUGAGAUAACGUUGCAGUGUGAAGUCUGCAUGCAGUGCAUUGUACAGGAUGAGCUACCUGUGGUAAACACAACAGAAGUACAAGCUGAUGUAGUAAGGGGUCUGUAUGAGAUGUUGCUCAAAGAAGUACACACAGACUUUGAACUUCAUGCAGGAGACACUGUUCUCAAGGCACACAGAGCACUACUGUCUGUACGGAGCCCUUACUUCGCUGACAUGCUGCAGCCUGACACAAAGGAAGCACAGGAAGGCUUCGCACAGGUCUCAGAUGUGAAGCCAGAGGUAUUGAAACAGGUUCUAUUGUAUAUGUACACGGGUGUUGCUCCGGCUCUCAAAGACAUGUCGUGGGACCUACUGAAAGCAGCUGACAAAUACCAACUCCGGCAGUUGAAGCGCCAGUGCGAAGCACACAUUACCAGCUGUCUGAAUGUGGAAAAUGCUGCAGAAACUGCAGCCAAUGCCUCUGUUUUCUCGUGCGACAUGCUGUGGGACCGAGCCGUCCUUUUCAUCAAGCGCAACCUCAGUGAGGUGAUGUGCACGCCUGGAUGGACUGAAGCAGGAGCUACACAUCCGGAAGCAAUACAGCGUAUUAACGAGCUGAUGGAAUGAGCCAGUGAGAGAAUUUGGCUUUUCACUGUGGACAUGACACUUCACCUGAUGACCAAGGGAAGCCUCCCAGAAACGUUGCUCGGACUGGGCAAUGUAGAACAACCAAUGAAACCUGCUCUUUGAGGGAGACCGCAUUGGACGAUGAACAACUGAAGGCACCAAUAGAUGUCUCUGCAGUGAAGGUGUCGUGAGUCUACACAACAGUAGCCAUUCUAGCAGAGGGAUUAAAUCAGCUGUUCUUUAUACCUUCAAGUGGCACUCAUUGCAAUUUUGGAACCGAUUACUGCGUUUUGUUACAUCAUAACUGUGCUCCUACUAAGAUGAAACUAUAACAUCAACAGAUGGAAGACAGAAGAAGCAGAGUUCAAAAGUCAUUUAGAGAGAUCCCCAAGAAAUUCAUUUCCAGGAGUUCCAGGAAUAAUUGGGUAUGCAAUAAAUUGGAACUCAGUAUUGAACACUGAACUCAGCUGACUUUAGUUUAGCACUAAUGACAAAUGAGGAACAUUCAUCAUAUACUUCAUCAAGAUAAAUCAACUUUGAUAUUUAUUUCUUUUAAUAAUAUAAUAAUUCACUUCAGUCGCCUUCUGCACAACCAACACAUUUCUUAAUUACUGUUUCAAAUGACACCUUCAUCUUCAUUUUACUCAGAAAUGUCAUUCCAUUGUAAAAUGAAGAAAGUUAAGGAUGAAGUUCUCUUUUGAUAGUCCGUGGUCAACAAUUACUGUUUUGUGACCCAUUUUUUUAUUUUUUAAUGGAAAACAUUUGUAUUGUCCAAUGAAUUUAUAACUGUAAAAAUGUAACUAAAAAUAAAUAAAUGUAAAACACUGAAA